This 484-nucleotide ribosomal RNA is filed under the name uncultured bacterium. Its description in RNAcentral is "partial 16S ribosomal RNA". It matches the Rfam family "Bacterial small subunit ribosomal RNA", at positions 28 to 523 of the family's 1533-position model. The record is from RNAcentral.
GACGAACGCUGGCGGCGUGCUUAACACAUGCAAGUCGAACGGAAAGGCCCUGCUUUUGUGGGGUGCUCGAGUGGCGAACGGGUGAGUAACACGUGAGUAACCUGCCCUUGACUUUGGGAUAACUUCAGGAAACUGGGGCUAAUACCGGAUAGGAGCUCCUGCUGCAUGGUGGGGGUUGGAGAGUUUCGGCGGUUGGGGAUGGACUCGCGGCUUAUCAGCUUGUUGGUGGGGUAGUGGCUUACCAAGGCUUUGACGGGUAGCCGGCCUGAGAGGGUGACCGGUCACAUUGGGACUGAGAUACGGCCCAGACUCCUACGGGAGGCAGCAGUGGGGAAUAUUGCACAAUGGGCGGAAGCCUGAUGCAGCAACGCCGCGUGCGGGAUGACGGCCUUCGGGUUGUAAACCGCUUUCGCCUGUGACGAAGCGUGAGUGACGGUAAUGGGUAAAGAAGCACCGGCUAACUACGUGCCAGCCGCCGCAGUAA